GACGGUUUGGCCGAGUGUCUAAGGCGCCAGAUUUAGGCUCUGGUCCGAAAGGGCGUGGGUUCAAAUCCCACAGAUGUUU
This is a transfer RNA of Ipomoea nil (Japanese morning glory), 79 nucleotides long. It matches the Rfam family "tRNA". From Rfam's summary of the family: Transfer RNA (tRNA) molecules are approximately 80 nucleotides in length. Their secondary structure includes four short double-helical elements and three loops (D, anti-codon, and T loops). Lineage: Eukaryota; Viridiplantae; Streptophyta; Magnoliopsida; Solanales; Convolvulaceae. The record is from Rfam.